GUCAGUAAGUAUGGGACUAUUAAAUCAAUUUAAGUCCAAGAGCUAAUGGAAAUUUAAUUAUAUUUCAAAUCCUGCAACAUUUUUAUCACACAUUCCCUUUACACCAUGUACACAUUCAAUGAACAUUCUGUGUCUCAUUCAAGCAUACUUAAAACUCCAGAAUAUGUAUUUAUUCUAUAUAUGUACCAUUAUCUCUGUAACUUAAAUUUGUAUUUAGUUUAUGAGAAUAAAAUAUUCCAAAACUGCAGAAUAUUUUCUUUUACAGCUUAUUUCCUAAAGCUUGUAGAGC
This 289-nucleotide long non-coding RNA is filed under the name Mytilus galloprovincialis (Mediterranean mussel). Lineage: Eukaryota; Metazoa; Mollusca; Bivalvia; Mytilida; Mytilidae. The record is from RNAcentral.